This 586-nucleotide ribosomal RNA is filed under the name uncultured bacterium. RNAcentral describes it as "partial 16S ribosomal RNA". It matches the Rfam family "Bacterial small subunit ribosomal RNA", at positions 355 to 1375 of the family's 1533-position model. The record is from RNAcentral.
UGGGGAAUUUUGGACAAUGGGCGAAAGCCUGAUCCAGCAAUGCCGCGUGUGUGAAGAAGGCCUUCGGGUUGUAAAGCACUUUUGUCCGGAAAGAAAUCCUUGGCUCUAAUACAGUCGGGGGAUGACGGUACCGGAAGAAUAAGCACCGGCUAACUACGUGCCAGCAGCCGCGGUAAUACGUAGGGUGCAAGCGUUAAUCGGAAUUACUGGGCGUAAAGCGUGCGCAGGCGGUUUGCUAAGACCGAUGUGAAAUCCCCGGGCUCAACCUGGGAACUGCAUUGGUGACUGGCAGGCUAGAGUAUGGCAGAGGGGGGUAGAAUUCCACGUGUAGCAGUGAAAUGCGUAGAGAUGUGGAGGAAUACCGAUGGCGAAGGCAGCCCCCUGGGCCAAUACUGACGCUCAUGCACGAAAGCGUGGGGAGCAAACAGGAUUAGAUACCCGUGGUAGUCCACGCCCUAAACGAUGUCAACUAGUUGUUGGGGAUUCAUUUCCUUAGUAACGUAGCUAACGCGUGAAGUUGACCGCCUGGGGAGUACGGUCGCAAGAUUAAAACUCAAAUGAAUUGACGGGGUCAUAGCUGUUUCCU